CAUUAGAUGGCUGAAAUUUAAGCAAUGGUCUCUUAAACCAUAUAAUAGUAUUUAUACUUCUAAUG
Molecule: transfer RNA, 65 nt
Filed under: Abacion magnum
Lineage: Eukaryota; Metazoa; Arthropoda; Diplopoda; Callipodida; Callipodidae
Description: tRNA-Lys
Rfam family: tRNA
About the family: Transfer RNA (tRNA) molecules are approximately 80 nucleotides in length. Their secondary structure includes four short double-helical elements and three loops (D, anti-codon, and T loops). Further hydrogen bonds mediate the characteristic L-shaped molecular structure. tRNAs have two regions of fundamental functional importance: the anti-codon, which is responsible for specific mRNA codon recognition, and the 3' end, to which the tRNAs corresponding amino acid is attached (by aminoacyl-tRNA synthetases). tRNAs cope with the degeneracy of the genetic code in two manners: having more than one tRNA (with a specific anti-codon) for a particular amino acid; and 'wobble' base-pairing, i.e. permitting non-standard base-pairing at the 3rd anti-codon position.
Source: RNAcentral